CCUUCGGUAUGUUUGUUCUGUAUAAAAAUAAUAAGAACAACACUCAUUCUCGCAGAUAAUUUCCAUAUUAUAGCAAUCAUGCAUGUAUUUUAUUAAUUUCUAUGUGUCGUGCAGAAUUCAAAAGAUGCGACGAUCUAUGUAAUCUGAAUAGCGAUAAAUAAAAUUGUUAGUCGUUAGCAGUUUAGUCCAAAAUAAGUUUUAAUCUAUUUUAGACUUUACUCGAAGAGAAAUAAACACACUAUUGGAAAAAUAUUUUCUUUAUCUCAUUAUUAAGUGUAUUCUAUUUAUAAAUCUAUCACUCUAUAUUUAAAAAAUAUUUUAAUUUUAUUCUCUAAAUAGUUUAAUAUUAUUCUCGAUAUUGUUAUCUUCCUGUUUUCGUUAUCCGAAAAUAGGAAAACACGUUUUGUGUUAUCCGACGAACUAUUUUUUAAACUAAAAUUAAAUUUGCUGCCAAAAGCUCAAAGUUGAUUUGGCAGAGCAAUGUUGCUCCAAAAUUUAUAACCCUCAUUAAUAAAAAAAGAAGUGGAACGGAAAAUAACAUUAUCUGAAAAAUAGGAAAUCAAAUCAAGUGUUUAUACGUUUGUAAUUGUUUAUUCUGAUCGAUAUCGCAAAAAAGUCUUUCUAAGAGUCCUUGAGUUUUCUGUAUUGUCACCCCGUCGUCCACAUUGCAGAUCGUUUACUCAGAUUUAUCAAGUUAUCGUCAGCGUAUUUGUCUCCUUUCCGGAAAUAGUCGUUCAAGAAAACGAUCGUCUCGUUAAUGUGUCGUAAAGUGUAUCGCGUGUCAAGCAAAGUUUAUCGCGUUAAUGCAUUUGAUCGGUGUUUCCUAUAUACAUGUGUGCAUGGUGGAUUUUACUGCUCGCGAUCAGCUGGACAAAGAGGUCUUACUGCCCUUUAGUUGGGUACUGAAGAAAAGAGUCUGAUGAACUUUGUUGUCACCUAAUGAUGGUCGUGGUCAGUCAGUGUAACGAAAUGUAUUUAAAAAUCGAAGAUACACAGAUGCAAAAUAUGAUGAUCGCAAAGUUUGCGCAAUGAUCGGAAAUACACGACUUCAAAUUUAAUAUGAGCCUACACUGGGAAAAAGAUACUUAAAAUUUGUGACGUAUUAAUUUAUAGUUCAUUGAAAUAAAUCUGUAACUUAAUACGGCAAAAAAGUAUUUGUUAUUCUUAACAAAUCAAUUAAGAAAUAAAUUAAGAAGAAAAAUGAGUUACAUUUUAACUAAAGUAAGAUAGAUUUUACAGAAAUAUAUAUUUUGUAUGUAUAUUAUCAGGUACAAAUUCUUUAGAUUCAAGGAAAACAAGUAACAUUUUGUUUACUAAUAUCUGAACUUUCUUUCUCACUUUGUCAGUGUAAUGUGACGUCACUCCUCUUUAUAACAAAUUUAUCGCGCGGGACACAAAACACGACACGAUUUCUACGUCACAAUUCUUACGAAGGUCAUGUUAUUUCGAUACAUCAUAAUUUCCGCAGCAUUAUCAUGAGAUAUAAUAUUAAAUAAUCUCACGCGAUGUGCGUGCCAAGGGAAACGCAUUUCAAUUUUAUCAUCUCUUGUUUAUCAAUCAAUGCAUUUUUUAAAAAAAGACCCGACAAAUGUAUAUCUGUCGUAUAAUGCGUUUGAAAAUCUCAAGGUCCCACGAAAACGAUAAUGAUAUGCAUUUCACUGCACAUAUCGUUUUUGUGGGAUCUUGAAAUUUUUUAAUGUAUUAUAUGCCAGAUAUACAUUCGUCGAUUCUUUUUUAAAAAAAUUGCAAAUUGAUUACAAUAAGAAAAUGCAAAUAAAUCUCCAGAUAUCCCUUAUUGCACAUAAUUCGAUAAGACAAAUGCACUUGAAAUGCGUAAACAAUUUCGUUACAAUUUUUUCUCGUUCUUUAUUCCUAAAAUAAAGCGUAGUACUUAUGCGUGCAUUUUCUGUGCGUCUGCAAAUUUUAUUUUUUCCCUCGACAAGGUGUGACUUAAAAUAUUUCGACUGUUUUAUAAGUCAAACAUCAUGUGAUAACAAAUUAAUAAGAGGACGCGCAAACAGCUUAUAUUUUAAUACAAAUUGUUUAAUACAACUUUGAAAAUACAAUUGUUCAAGUUUGAUGUUUAAAUAUAUGCUUUUAUCCGAAUAAGUGUAUCAGUUUUUUAGAGUCUAAAUAUAGUAAUUCAAUGAGUAAUGUGAGAUUUUUGAUUAAUUGCAGAGAUAAGCUGUGUGUAUCAACUUUAAUUUAUCUUUGGGAUACAUUUUGAGGAUAGAUUAUUGAAGCAUUACGAUGUAAUCAAUAUGAUAAACUUUUUAUUUCUCGAAUAUUAAUCUCAUUUUUAUGUGUUCCGAAUGCACGAUUGGUACUUCGCGGAAAGAAGAAUCUAAGCAGAUUAAAUAUUGAAAGGGAGAUAGUGUAUUAUUUAUCAUGCCCUUAGGCUGUGAAUACGAUUUAGUAGAAAUACGAUUUCUAUAUACGCAGAGGAAUCUUCCGCUAUGAACAAGAUAAUUUUCGGCUGUUACGCUAACGUCUUAUCUAUUUGUUAUCCAUUCGUCACAACGUCUUGCACAAAGUUUGCGAAAUUUAUGACGUUUCAAUCUUGUCUCGUUAUAUCAAUUCUAAACAAACAACUAAACAACAAUAAUCCUUUUGCAAUUAGUCAAAGAUAAAUACAGUUUAUCGUUUAUAAAAAAAUACAUGUCAUAUUUAAUUAGAUAAAAAAUUUAUAAACAAGAUUAAUUAAUGUCUUGAUUAAUUAUUCGAUAAAAAUUCGCUAUGCCAAGUUUUCAAUUAAGAAAAUUCGAUUUCAAAUUGGUUGCAAUAAGAAAAGGCAAACAUAUUUAAGUUAAAUAGAAUUGGUACACUGUAGACAUCACUAUCGUAAAGGGUGAAUAACAUCUUCACCUUAUUAUCUGUGUGAUUUGUUUCCGACGGUGUCUUAACGUGAUGAAAUCCGUGGAAGAUCAGAAUAAGUUGAAAAUGAUUCGUCUAAGCAAUUAUCUCAGACGCAAAAAUGAUUAUGUUGCAUUUCACUGCAUAUCGUUACUGUUUUUGUAAAAUAAUUAGAGAAAACGAUUAUACGCAACAGUAGUGAUUGGAAUUCUAGUUAAAACAGGAAACAAACAUGAGGAAAUAAUAUAGACUUUAUUUAUUGAUAAAAUUGAAUAAAUGAUUAAUUUUUCACGGUUCGAUUAUCAUAUUUUUUAUAAGAAAAUAGAUGUAGCUUCUUCCCUACUAUUAUUUCAAUGAGAUUUAAUAUUAUUAAUAUUAAUAUGCUGGUUAUAUAUGAAUUGCUUAGGGCUGGUUGUUGGCUUAGGCCAACUUCUUGAUAAACUUACCUAUCAAGUAACCAUGUAUUUGUCCUCAUUUUUUAAAAUAAAAUAAAGGCAGACAUUUACCUGAUAGGUAAGUUUACCAAGAAAUUAAAACAACCGACCCUUAAUGUUAGAGAGAAGGAGAUAUCGUUUUCGAAGAUUCAUUCUUUUUUUCUGCUAAAAAAUUGAUCUAUGAUGACCCUAAAACUUAUUAGGUAAAACUGAAUAAAAAUAUUAAAAAUAUUUGUAUACUCUUCUAUAACAUCGUAAAAAAAGUCCGUAAUUUUUUAACGAAAAUUAUGUUUAUCUCAAACUUUAGCGUAAUUUUUAUCUAUUAUCUAUCGUGCGCCUUUAAUAACCAUGUUAAGCAAUUUAUAUAAUCUUGUUAUGUGAUUGUGAUAAAUAGUUAAAUAUUAAUGGAAAAAUAAAAAUAGUAUUAGUAAAUCGAUACACACAAAACAGUUAUAUAAACGCAAUAAAUAUUGCAGUGUAUGAAUAAUAUCUAUUAUACAAAAUUGAUGCUCAUUUUACAAUUACCAUUCAUCAUUUGACAGUUUAUAAAAUUGUCUCAAGGAGGAAUCAUACUCUAACUUGUUGGAGUGCGUUUUAUCGACUAUAUUAUAAAUGUAAUGAAUUGUAGUCAGAAAUAUAAUAUUAUUCUGGUGAUUAAUUAUGUAUCAGUCAUCGGCAUCUCAUUUACACUCUUAAGAUGCAAUUGAAUACAUCUAAAAUCAAA
RNAcentral lists this long non-coding RNA (4011 nucleotides) under Monomorium pharaonis (pharaoh ant). RNAcentral's name for it is "uncharacterized LOC118646486". The record is from RNAcentral. Lineage: Eukaryota; Metazoa; Arthropoda; Insecta; Hymenoptera; Formicidae.